UCCGCAUUAGUGUAGGGGUUAACAUACUCCGCUUUCAAAACUACGAAGGUCCGGAGAGCCCCGGGUUCGAUUCCCGGAUGCGGAA
This 85-nucleotide transfer RNA is filed under the name Blumeria graminis f. sp. tritici. It matches the Rfam family "tRNA". Rfam says of the family: Transfer RNA (tRNA) molecules are approximately 80 nucleotides in length. RNAcentral also lists the same sequence under 1 other name. The record is from Rfam by way of RNAcentral. Lineage: Eukaryota; Fungi; Ascomycota; Leotiomycetes; Helotiales; Erysiphaceae.